This is a long non-coding RNA of Orbicella faveolata, 538 nucleotides long. NCBI's taxonomy places the organism in Eukaryota, Metazoa, Cnidaria, Anthozoa, Scleractinia, Merulinidae. The record is from RefSeq and is a predicted model, not a curated record.
UCAUGUAUAUUAUUAAUAUUAUUAUGUAACUAUGUCUUUGCAGAGAGGGGUCUUGAAAUAGGUGUGCUCCAAGACAAUGCUGAUGUAUUAAAGUCACAAAAUCUUUCACUGAAUGAGGAGGCACAGGCCCUUAGUCUCCAAAUGACGAACCUUGUACAGGCCAAAAAGGAUCUUCUAGAAGAGCGGAACUCCCUAAGAGAAGGCUUAGACAAACUCCAUUUCUUCAUUGAAAGUCUAAAAAGAUAAUAUAUUUGUAACAUAGAUGUAAGAUUCUAUAUUUAAGAGCUACAUUUUUCAUGGCAUUCUCUUAUGAAAGAAAACAAAGUUUUGCCUCACAUGAUGCAGAGACACAACAGUGUUGGAAAAGAUUUCCAGACUUUUAAAAUAUUAAAGCUCAGACAUUAAUGUAUUUUUCAGCUUGAAGAGAUUUCUAUGUUGUGCAAAGGUUAAUUUUUCCGCAUGCUUUAAAAGAGUUAUCCAUUAGCUAGAUAACAAAAUUAAGUGAAGAAGAAAUGAAUAAAUUCUAUUUAAAAAGAAA